GAUGUACGCUGGCGGCGUGCCUAAUACAUGCAAGUCGAGCGAACAGACGAGGAGCUUGCUCCUUUGACGUUAGCGGCGGACGGGUGAGUAACACGUAGGUAACCUACCUAUAAGACUGGGAUAACUUCGGGAAACCGGAGCUAAUACCGGAUAAUAUUUCGAACCGCAUGGUUCGAUAGUGAAAGAUGGCUUUGCUAUCACUUAUAGAUGGACCUGCGCCGUAUUAGCUAGUUGGUAAGGUAACGGCUUACCAAGGCAACGAUACGUAGCCGACCUGAGAGGGUGAUCGGCCACACUGGAACUGAGACACGGUCCAGACUCCUACGGGAGGCAGCAGUAGGGAAUCUUCCGCAAUGGGCGAAAGCCUGACGGAGCAACGCCGCGUGAGUGAUGAAGGUCUUCGGAUCGUAAAACUCUGUUAUUAGGGAAGAACAAACGUGUAAGUAACUGUGCACGUCUUGACGGUACCUAAUCAGAAAGCCACGGCUAACUACGUG
This 497-nucleotide ribosomal RNA is filed under the name uncultured bacterium. RNAcentral describes it as "partial 16S ribosomal RNA". It matches the Rfam family "Bacterial small subunit ribosomal RNA", at positions 28 to 507 of the family's 1533-position model. The record is from RNAcentral.